UACAGAGGUCCCAAGCGUUGUUCGGAUUCACUGGGCGUAAAGGGUGCGUAGGCGGUCGGGUAAGUCUGAUGUGAAAUCUCACAGCUUAACUGUGAAACUGCAUUGGAUACUAUUCGGCUUGAGAGUUGGAGGGGGACUGGAAUUCUUGGUGUAGCAGGUGAAAUGCGUAGAUAUCAAGAGGAACACCAGUGGCGAAGGCGAGUCCCUGGACAACUUCUGACGUGAGGCACGAAAGCUAGGGGAGCAAACAGG
This 252-nucleotide ribosomal RNA is filed under the name uncultured bacterium. RNAcentral's name for it is "partial 16S ribosomal RNA". It matches the Rfam family "Bacterial small subunit ribosomal RNA", at positions 524 to 776 of the family's 1533-position model. The record is from RNAcentral.